GCAAAGGUGAGAGCGAGAGACAGCCUGGGAUUGGAGGAUAUUGUUAGUGGGCGUGAUGGUAUACUCAAGUACAGGAGUACAGUGAAAGGUGUACAAUGUGGCGGCAGGCAACACCAUCUUCAGUACAAAGGUAUCCAGAUACAAAAUAACUCCAGAAGGUAAAUUUGAAAAGGCAAAAGAAACAGAGAAGAAAAGAAAAUGCAGCUGGCUUGGAGCACUUGGGCCUACUGUGCUG
Non-coding RNA from Chiloscyllium plagiosum (whitespotted bambooshark), 235 nucleotides. NCBI's taxonomy places the organism in Eukaryota, Metazoa, Chordata, Chondrichthyes, Orectolobiformes, Hemiscylliidae. The record is from RefSeq and is a predicted model, not a curated record.